Oxyura jamaicensis (ruddy duck) is the source of this 155-nucleotide long non-coding RNA. RefSeq lists it as uncharacterized. NCBI's taxonomy places the organism in Eukaryota, Metazoa, Chordata, Aves, Anseriformes, Anatidae. The transcript is spliced from 3 exons. The record is from RefSeq and is a predicted model, not a curated record.
CAUACUUUUUGAAGAAGCCUUCGAACUGCUAACCCAACUCAUCCAUACAGUUCUAGAUCACUGUAGUUCUUCCCCCCCCUCUAUUUUUAACUCAAGGUAUUAAAAUAGAUCUUGUGUCAAGGAGGCAUGGCCUUUACAUUGCCGAAUUCAAGGAA